GUGGGGAAUAUUGGACAAUGGGCGAAAGCCUGAUCCAGCAAUGCCGCGUGAGUGAUGAAGGCCCUAGGGUUGUAAAGCUCUUUUACCCGGGAGGAUAAUGACAGUACCGGGAGAAUAAGCUCCGGCUAACUUCGUGCCAGCAGCCGCGGUAAUACGAGGGGAGCUAGCGUUGUUCGGAAUUACUGGGCGUAAAGCGCGCGUAGGCGGUUUUUUAAGUCAGAGGUGAAAGCCCGGGGCUCAACCCCGGAAUUGCCUUUGAAACUGGAAAACUAGAAGCUUGGAGAGGUCAGUGGAAUUCCGAGUGUAGAGGUGAAAUUCGUAGAUAUUCGGAAGAACACCAGUGGCGAAGGCGACUGACUGGACAAGUAUUGACGCUGAGGUGCGAAAGCGUGGGGAGCAAACAGGAUUAGAAACCCGUGUAGUCC
RNAcentral lists this ribosomal RNA (425 nucleotides) under uncultured bacterium. RNAcentral describes it as "partial 16S ribosomal RNA". It matches the Rfam family "Bacterial small subunit ribosomal RNA", at positions 354 to 796 of the family's 1533-position model. The record is from RNAcentral.